GACGUAAAGAGAGGUUCAUUUCAUAUAACAAGAGUCAUUACAAAUGGAGCAAACAUUGGCAUUUAGCCUAAGACAAUGGUUCCCAAUAACCAAGAUACCCAACAUAAGCGAUCAACCCUUCAUUUAUGCUUCAGCCACUAUCGAAAAAUAUUAGUACGGAUGAUCUUCGUUAUUGAACGACCUCCGUUUUCACUGAAGACCUUGCUUACAAGGAGAAAAAUAGUGAAGCACGAGACGGAGUCAAGCAUCCUCAAUCGCCAAUUGGGAGACAUCGUAAGAGAGCGGAGGCUCAGAGCCACCCCAAACCGACCAGAAUCAACCAUCGAUGACAUUUAACCUUGAUUAGCAACCAAACAGUGAAGCGGCAGAGAUCUUGGAUCUAGCGGAAAACAAAACAACAAAGCAAUAUCUGGAGGCUUUUGGCACCACCAUCCAUCCACCAUCCGAAAGUCGCAACAAAAAAACUCUCACCUAAAGUGGAGGACAUCACCAACACCGAAACACUGCACUGAUCCCUCCUUAACAAACGCCCGCUCAAAAGAAGAGAAACGAGCCACAAAAGCUCAAACAAGGCCCCCAAAAGGGGUUAUUAAACUGAGAGGAGGCAUAAAAAAGACAGCAGGAAAAAGUAAGGGACAACCAACCACUGGUGGCAGGUGGUUGACAAUCUAAAGCAAGCAUAGGUGGAAAGAGCUGGAGCGGUGCUUAUGGUUUCAAAGAAAACAAAGAGUUUUAAGUUCUAUAUUAGUAGUACCUCAUUGAACUAUCUAUAUUAGUAGUACCUCAUUGAACUAUCUUCUUUUUC
RNAcentral lists this long non-coding RNA (805 nucleotides) under Gossypium raimondii (Peruvian cotton). Its description in RNAcentral is "long non-coding RNA (GRAI_LNC002496)". Lineage: Eukaryota; Viridiplantae; Streptophyta; Magnoliopsida; Malvales; Malvaceae. The record is from RNAcentral.